GAUGAACGCUGGCGGCGUGCUUAACACAUGCGAGUCGAACGGAAAGGCCCAAGCUUGCUUGGGUACUCGAGUGGCGAACGGGUGAGUAACACGUGGGUGAUCUGCCCUGCACUUCGGGAUAAGCCUGGGAAACUGGGUCUAAUACCGGAUAGGACCACUUCUUGGAUGUUGUGGUGGAAAGUUUUUUCGGUGUGGGAUGAGCUCGCGGCCUAUCAGCUUGUUGGUGGGGUAAUGGCCUACCAAGGCGUCGACGGGUAGCCGGCCUGAGAGGGUGUACGGCCACAUUGGGACUGAGAUACGGCCCAGACUCCUACGGGAGGCAGCAGUGGGGAAUAUUGCACAAUGGGCGCAAGCCUGAUGCAGCGACGCCGCGUGGGGGAGGACGGCCUUCGGGUUGUAAACGCCUUUCGCUAGGGACGAAGCGUUUUGUGACGGUACCUGGAGAAGAAGCACCGGCUAACUACGUG
RNAcentral lists this ribosomal RNA (467 nucleotides) under uncultured bacterium. Its description in RNAcentral is "partial 16S ribosomal RNA". It matches the Rfam family "Bacterial small subunit ribosomal RNA", at positions 28 to 507 of the family's 1533-position model. The record is from RNAcentral.